Acanthosepion pharaonis is the source of this 141-nucleotide non-coding RNA. NCBI's taxonomy places the organism in Eukaryota, Metazoa, Mollusca, Cephalopoda, Sepiida, Sepiidae. The record is from the annotation of a GenBank genome assembly.
UUACGGUCAAAUCACGCUGAAAACACCGGUUCUCGUUCGAUCACCGAAGUUAAGCAUCGUAGAGCCAGGUCAGUUUGACACAUCGUAGAGCCAGGUCAGUACUUAGAUGGGGGACCGCUUGGGAACACCUGGUACUGUAAG